CUCCAAUAGCGUAUAUUAAAGUUGUUGCAGUUAAAACGCUCGUAGUCUGAUGUAAUGGGGAGUGGAGUGGGGAGCAGCGAUGCUCUUUGCUUUGGUCCUCAUCAGGGGGACAGCAAUGUCCAGUUUACUUUGAGGAAUUAGAGUGUUCAAAGCAGGCGAUUGCUUGAAUACUGCAGCAUGGAAUAAUGGAAUAGGACUCG
This 200-nucleotide ribosomal RNA is filed under the name uncultured eukaryote. RNAcentral's name for it is "partial 18S ribosomal RNA". It matches the Rfam family "Eukaryotic small subunit ribosomal RNA", at positions 589 to 831 of the family's 1831-position model. The record is from RNAcentral.